GACGAACGCUGGCGGCGUGCUUAACACAUGCAAGUCGAACGGAAAGGCCCUGCUUUUGUGGGGUGCUCGAGUGGCGAACGGGUGAGUAACACGUGAGUAACCUGCCCUUGACUUUGGGAUAACUUCAGGAAACUGGGGCUAUAACGGGAAAGAGGUCCCGCCUGCAGGGGGGGGGUGGGAAGGUUUCGGCGGUUGGGGUUGGACUCGCGGCUUAUCAGCUUGUUGGUGGGGUAGUGGCUUACCAAGGCUUUGACGGGUAGCCGGCCUGAGAGGGUGACCGGCCACAUUGGGACUGAGAUACGGCCCAGACUCCUACGGGAGGCAGCAGUGGGGAAUAUUGCACAAUGGGCGGAAGCCUGAUGCAGCAACGCCGCGUGCGGGAUGACGGCCUUCGGGUUGUAAACCGCUUUCGCCUGUGACGAAGCGUGAGUGACGGUAAUGGGUAAAGAAGCACCGGCUGACUACGUG
Molecule: ribosomal RNA, 468 nt
Filed under: uncultured bacterium
Lineage: Bacteria
Description: partial 16S ribosomal RNA
Rfam family: Bacterial small subunit ribosomal RNA
Source: RNAcentral